This 453-nucleotide ribosomal RNA is filed under the name Veillonella parvula. RNAcentral's name for it is "bacterial SSU rRNA". It matches the Rfam family "Bacterial small subunit ribosomal RNA", at positions 28 to 458 of the family's 1533-position model. The record is from RNAcentral. Lineage: Bacteria; Bacillati; Bacillota; Negativicutes; Veillonellales; Veillonellaceae.
GACGAACGCUGGCGGCGUGCUUAACACAUGCAAGUCGAACGAAGAGCGACGGAAGCUUGCUUCUAUCAAUCUUAGUGGCGAACGGGUGAGUAACGCGUAAUCAACCUGCCCUUCAGAGGGGGACAACAGUUGGAAACGACUGCUAAUACCGCAUACGAUCUAAUCUCGGCAUCGAGGAUAGAUGAAAGGUAGCCUCUACAUGUAAGCUAUCACUGAAGGAGGGGAUUGCGUCUGAUUAGCUAGUUGGAGGGGUAACGGCCCACCAAGGCGAUGAUCAGUAGCCGGUCUGAGAGGAUGAACGGCCACAUUGGGACUGAGACACGGCCCAGACUCCUACGGGAGGCAGCAGUGGGGAAUCUUCCGCAAUGGACGAAAGUCUGACGGAGCAACGCCGCGUGAGUGAUGACGGCCUUCGGGUUGUAAAGCUCUGUUAAUCGGGACGAAAGGCCUUUC